UGCAGUAAAGACAAGUUUACCCUUUUUCCCAUCUUUCGGUGGGGGGUGGUGUUACAGAAGACUGCCAACGAAUAAGGCUCUGGGAAAUAAGAGGGGAAUCGAUGGGCUGAUGCAGAGAAAAAAGUUUACAGCA
Molecule: small nucleolar RNA, 133 nt
Organism: Conger conger (European conger)
Lineage: Eukaryota; Metazoa; Chordata; Actinopteri; Anguilliformes; Congridae
Product: small nucleolar RNA SNORA5
Exons: 1
Source: RefSeq, a predicted model, not a curated record